ACCUUGGUAGUUUAAGCCUUCAAAACGUCGGUCUUGUAAGCCGAACAUGGAACCUAGAACUUCCCCAAGGUA
RNAcentral lists this transfer RNA (72 nucleotides) under Oplurus grandidieri. RNAcentral describes it as "tRNA-Thr". It matches the Rfam family "tRNA". From Rfam's summary of the family: Transfer RNA (tRNA) molecules are approximately 80 nucleotides in length. Their secondary structure includes four short double-helical elements and three loops (D, anti-codon, and T loops). Further hydrogen bonds mediate the characteristic L-shaped molecular structure. tRNAs have two regions of fundamental functional importance: the anti-codon, which is responsible for specific mRNA codon recognition, and the 3' end, to which the tRNAs corresponding amino acid is attached (by aminoacyl-tRNA synthetases). tRNAs cope with the degeneracy of the genetic code in two manners: having more than one tRNA (with a specific anti-codon) for a particular amino acid; and 'wobble' base-pairing, i.e. permitting non-standard base-pairing at the 3rd anti-codon position. Lineage: Eukaryota; Metazoa; Chordata; Lepidosauria; Squamata. The record is from RNAcentral.